AUGCGAAUUAUUGGACAUUUAGAGGCAAACAGACGCACAGUGCAAACUUCGGAGAUGGUAACAUCCACGAAGAAGACCCCGACAAAGAGAAAGUGUGCCCGAACGACUUAUUUCAUUGGAGGCAACGAGAUCUGCAAGAAUACUUUUCUGUUUCUUAUGGGAGUCAGCUUCCUCGUCUUCAUCCUGGUUUGUGUGUCAUCAUCGAAUGCAAGACUUAGAAUGCAGAAGCAUGGAUAUAACUGAUAAGAGACAUUCCCUGCUUUUAAUAUCUAAAGAAUUAAUGCAACAGGACACAGCUGAACACUUGAGAAGACCUGUGAGGCAACUGUUCCAAUACUUAUGCUCACAUCAUAUAGGGAGAUGAAACUCUAAAAGUGCUGAUCUUCUUAGAUGGUAAAACAUCUUUGUUAAUUCACCCAAUAAUAAAAUGUGACAUUCUGUAGUUUUGUCUCAUAUUCAUCUUUUAAUCAUAUUUACAGAUUUCUUGACUCCACAACAAACAGAACAACUUUGUCUUUACUGUUCCAAUACUUAUGGAGGGCACUGUAUGUAAAAAUGAACAUAAUUUCAUAUAGAUCAUAUGCACUGACCUUAUUUAACCCUAUGUAAAAAUCAUUGCUCCUGUUUAUACUGUGCCAAAGUGUUAAUCUCAUAGAUUUCCAGGCCAAGUGAAUUUUGAAUGCAACGUCCAAAAAAAAACCAAAAAAAAAAACCGUUGUUGAACAAUUACUAAUGGUACUUCUUGAAAAAUGUCCAUAUAGUUUAACAAGUCUUUUUGUGUCUUCUAUGUUUUUUUUCCCUUACUGAAGGCCAAUAAGAGACAGCCAAGUGAGCCAGGAUUAUUUUAUUUAUUUAUUUAUUUAUUUAUCUAUUUAUUUUUUUUAAGUGUGACAUGAUGCUCCUGACUCCUUUGUUCUGGUUACAUUUUCCAAACAUGAUGACAAAACACUGACCACAGAUGAGAACUGUCAUCCUUUUCUGUGUUGUUUAGUCUCUCUCACUUCCCUCACAGUGGUCAUGUCACUGAAGUGCUCAUCAUUCCUGUAAACAUAACUGAUUGUGAUGAGGGGAGGAAAUUACUGCAACUGCUGUCAUAGAGGCUGAGAACCGUAAAAAUAGAAAAUGAUUUUACAUAAAAUACAGUGCAAUCAGUUCGGACAUCGCACAGUGUUCAUUCAAUAAAUGCACAUUUAAACAGAUGGCUAAUGUUUUAGCACAUCUGAUCUCUUCUGGAAGCUGAUUCCAACUGUGGGCUGCAUAAUAACUAAAAGCGGACUCCCAUUGUUUUGUGUGAACCCUUGGUAUUUCUAACUGACUCAAUCGUAAUGAUCUGAGUGGUCGGUUUAUAUUCAGUGAGCAUAUCUGCAAUGUAUUUUGGUCCUGGGUCAUUGAGUGAUUUACAAACAAGUAAAAGUACUUUAAAAUCAAUCCUAAAUGUAACUGAAAGCCAGUGUAAGGACCUGAGGACUGGUGUGAUAUGCUCAGAUUUUCUGGUUCUGGUCAGAAUUCUGGCAGCAGCGUUCUGGAUGAGCUGCAGCUGUGUAAUGGUCUUCUUGGGAAGGCCGGUGAGGAGACCAUUACAAUAGUCCACCCUGCUGGUGAUAAAGGCAUGAACAAGUUUCUCCAAGUCUUGACUGGAAACAAAACAUCUAAUUCUUGCAAUGUUUUUAGAUGAUAGUAUGCUGAUUUAGUUACUGCUUUGACAUGACUACUGAAACUAUGGUCUGUCUCCAGAAUCACACCAAGAUUCCUGACUUGAUUUGUUGGUGUUUGACCCCUAGAGUCAAGGUACUGUAUGUAUUCACCUUGAAAACUUCAUCUUUGUUUCCAAAUGCAAUGACUUUAGUUUUUUCCUUGUUUAACUGAAGAAAGUUUCGGCACAUCCAACUGUUAAUUUCAUCAGUGCAUUGGAAGAGGGAGUCAAUGGGGCUGUAAUCAUUUGGCAAUAAGGCUAGGUAAAUCUGGGUAUCAUCAGCAUAGCUGUGAUAGGCAAUUUGGUUCUUUCUCAUUAUUUGACUUAGUGGGAGCAUAUACAGGCUAAACAAGAGCAGUGCAAGAAUUGAGCCUUGUGGGACUCUGCAUGUCAUGGACGUCCACUUAGACUUAUGCUCUCCUAUACUCACAUAAUAACCUCUCCCUUCUAAGUAUGACCUGAACUGCUUGAGUACCAUCCCAGAAAGCCCGACCCAGUUUUCCAGUCUCUGUAGAAGUAUGUUAUGAUCGACAUUGUCAAACGCAGCACUGAGAUCUAGUAAUACCAGGA
This is a long non-coding RNA of Cyprinus carpio carpio, 2263 nucleotides long. NCBI's taxonomy places the organism in Eukaryota, Metazoa, Chordata, Actinopteri, Cypriniformes, Cyprinidae. The record is from Ensembl.